CCUACGGGUGGCUGCAGUAGGGAAUCUUCCACAAUGGACGAAAGUCUGAUGGAGCAACGCCGCGUGUGUGAUGAAGGGUUUCGGGUCGUAAAACACUGUUGUAAGAGAAGAAUGACAUUGAGAGUAACUGUUCAGUGUGUGACGGUAUCUUACCAGAAAGGAACGGCUAAAUACGUGCCAGCAGCCGCGGUAAUACGUAUGUUCCAAGCGUUAUCCGGAUUUAUUGGGCGUAAAGCGAGCGCAGACGGUUAUUUAAGUCCGAUGUGAAAGCCCUGAGCUUAACUGUGGAAGUGCAUUGGAAACUGGAUAACUUGAGUGCAGUAGAGGGUAGUGGAACUCCAGGUGUAGCGGUGAAGUGCGUAGAGAUAUGGAAGAACACCAGUGGCGAAGGCGGCUCUCUGGACUAUAACUGACGUUGAGGCUCGAAAGUGUGGGGAGCAAACAGGAUUAGAUACCCGGGUAGUC
Molecule: ribosomal RNA, 465 nt
Filed under: uncultured Weissella sp.
Lineage: Bacteria; Bacillati; Bacillota; Bacilli; Lactobacillales; Lactobacillaceae
Description: bacterial SSU rRNA
Rfam family: Bacterial small subunit ribosomal RNA
Source: RNAcentral